GAUGAACGCUGGCGGCGUGCUUAACACAUGCAAGUCGAACGAUGAAGCCCAGCUUGCUGGGUGGAUUAGUGGCGAACGGGUGAGUAACACGUGAGUAACCUGCCCCUAACUCUGGGAUAAGCCUGGGAAACUGGGUCUAAUACCGGAUAGGAGCGUCCACCGCAUGGUGGGUGUUGGAAAGAUUUAUCGGUUUUGGAUGGACUCGCGGCCUAUCAGCUUGUUGGUGAGGUAAUGGCUCACCAAGGCGACGACGGGUAGCCGGCCUGAGAGGGUGACCGGCCACACUGGGACUGAGACACGGCCCAGACUCCUACGGGAGGCAGCAGUGGGGAAUAUUGCACAAUGGGCGCAAGCCUGAUGCAGCGACGCCGCGUGAGGGAUGACGGCCUUCGGGUUGUAAACCUCUUUCAGUAGGGAAGAAGCGAAAGUGACGGUACCUGCAGAAGAAGCACCGGCUAACUACGUG
This 466-nucleotide ribosomal RNA is filed under the name uncultured bacterium. RNAcentral's name for it is "partial 16S ribosomal RNA". It matches the Rfam family "Bacterial small subunit ribosomal RNA", at positions 28 to 507 of the family's 1533-position model. The record is from RNAcentral.